AGGCAAGAUGUUGGCAUAGCUGAGUCCCAUUCAAUAUUUGUAUCUCAGCCAUGCUACAUAGGGCCAUG
RNAcentral lists this microRNA precursor (68 nucleotides) under Panagrellus redivivus. Its description in RNAcentral is "microRNA prd-mir-72 precursor". Its record names the gene prd-mir-72. It matches the Rfam family "mir-72 microRNA precursor family". Lineage: Eukaryota; Metazoa; Nematoda; Chromadorea; Rhabditida; Panagrolaimidae. The record is from miRBase by way of RNAcentral.